CUAAUGUGUAGGCAGAGUCAUUCUGGGCUCUGCACCCUGCUCCAAGUACAUCACACACGUUAGCUUGUCUAAUUAAUUCUUGUAACUGAUGAGGUUGAAAUAUCAUUAUGAACCGGGUAUGGUGGCACACACCUUUAAACCCAGCAAAAUUGGGAGGCAGAAGCAGGCGGAUCUCUGUGAGUUCAAAGCCAGCCUGGUCUAUGUAGGGAGUUCCAGGACAGCCAGGGCUCCACAGAGAGAUCCUGUUUCAAAAGAAAAAGAAAACGAGAAAAGAAAAAGAAUGAAUAAAAAUAUCAUUACGGAUAUCACUGUCUCUACGUCACGGAGGAAGUGAAGCCAAGCUAAUGACUCGCCAAGACCACAGACCAGGCAGCUGUAUAGCUGGGAUCCGAAUCCCAGCAUUCCUGUGUUCUUAAUGGGAGAAAGACCAAAUGUUAGCCUUCGUGAGUAGUGCAGCCACCCACAAGCCAUUAUGAGCCACACGCUGAACCUUUGAGACCCAUACGGAGAAUGAUUUCCCACACUUUUAUUUUCUAACGAGUGAGUUUACAAAGCACAUACAAAGCCAGUACAGGCAGAAGAAGAAAUGACAAGAAUCGGCUGGAGAGAAGCGGCAGGCAGGUCUCAAACAUCAUUCAACAGGGUGCUUAUGGCAGCUCUCAGAGAUGAUGGGAACCCGCUGACGAGAUCAGGCUGACCGACCGAGAGAGUUUGGGGCAGACACAUCUUGUCCACGGUGAGCCUGUGCCUUCCCAUUGCCACAGUGGGCAUUUUCAUAAGGUGGGGUGGACAGCGGUAACCUCUGUUGGUCAGAGUGUACCUUCCAGCCCUUCUCAAGGGUGCAAUGUUUUUCCUCAGCUGCUUCCCAUCCCCCUUUCUCCUCAUCGCAAAGGGGGCUGCAGCAGCUUGAACCCUGGAAAGGGAGGAUGCUUUUAGAGGAUGCUUGAGAUAAAUGUACUUGAGGCUGAGGAAAGGGAACUCCCUUGUCUUCUAUGAUCCACUCUCAACAACCCAAGAAGCUCAUCAUACAGUUCCUGUUAUGCCCAGGGGUAAGGUCACUCAUAGCUAGAGACAGGGCCACAGCUGCUGUGCAGAACUUUGGGCUGAAUGAGCGAAAGAGCUCCUUCAUUCCUCCAGCUGAGGCAGAAGAGAAUUAGCCCUUAGAGAGCUCGAGAGUUCGUUCUCCAGCGAAGACCUGGGGCGUCACUCUGCAGAAGUAGCAGAGGAAAAUCGGCUGAGGCAGCUGGAGGGAAAGUGGCCCACCUCUCACUGAGACUCCAGCAUCCCUGAUAAAUUAUUUCUAGGGUUACCUCAACCUCAGCCAAGCAAGGGACAAAGGCCCCAAUGUUAAUGCCAAAGAUGCUUUCUGAUGGUAAGAUGUCUAGCCUUGAAGACCAAUCGCCUUCAGUGACCACAAACCAGUACUCUGGUCAGGAUGCAUCUUGACUUAGAAGCUGUCACCUCCUAGAGAUUGAGAGAAACACUCUGCUCAGGCACUGAACCUUCUUGUAGCUCCAUGUGACCUGGAUAGGUACCAGGUCACACUAAAGGCAGGAUGUAGAGAUUUCAGUUGGCCUGGCCUAUCUUACCUUCUCUAACAAGAAUUAGAUGCCACUACUGCGUGCCCUCUGGAGUCACUCAGAUGAUACCCCUGUGUUACUGAAAAACGUGUCUUCACCAACAGCAUGGUGUUGUAUGCACACAUUGCUCUAGUCCCAGGAUCAGGAAGGUAGAGGCAAGAGGAUCAGGAGUCCAAGGCUGGCUUGUGUUAUAUGAGGCCUUCCUUGACUCAAACAAACAAACAAAAGCAAGAGAAGGAAGGAGAAAUGUACUUUUUUUCAAGCCUUGAAAAUGAGGUUCAGUAUGUAUCAAAAAUUUGCCAAGGUGGUCUCAAGUCAUUGAGACAUAAUCAAAAAACAAGAGGCACUCCACAUUGUUUGUCAACUCAAAUUUGAUACUCACACGUUCUAACUAACUGUACUAUCAGCCCUUAACACCAUGCUACUUGGCUCUAUGACACUAGCCUCCCUGUAUAAUCAGAAUACUUAAGGCACCCAGUCGAAGAGCUUGAUAGAUCCUAUUAAUGUUUAGAUGUGUUAGUGCCCUCUGUGUUAUCAUGGUUUCCUCUUUGGUGGAUCAUCCCUUUCUUCUCAUAAAAUUUGGGUUUUUCUGUGUUUUGGAUCUGGUUUCAGUUUAUCUCAUAAAGGUUGUUGUGAUUGUUGAUGCAAACUUGACAGAAUCUAGAAUCAUCCAGAAGUCAAGUCUCCAAGCAUACCUUUGAAGGAUUAUUUGGCCUCUGAAAAGAUCUGUGAGUCACUAUUUUGAUUAGAUUAAUUGAGCUUGGGGAGACCUGCCCAUUGUGGGUGGCACCAUUCCCUAGGCUGGGAUCAUAAAAUGUAUAAAAAGAGAAAGCAAACUGAGCUUGCAUGUUCAUCACUGCUCCCAGAGUGUGUGGAUACAAUAUGAGCCAAUCCUUGCUCCUACAUAAUGGACUCUAUCUCUCUGAAGCUAUAAGCCAGAAUAAGUCCUUAAUCUUUUUUUGCAAGAUAUUUUCUCCCUGCAAAGAGAAGGUAAGAAGGUAGCUAAGAUGAUGUAUAGCAGGGAGGUAUCAAGAGGGAGAAACUUGAAACAUUUAUAUAAUGUAGAUGGGUACAUUGUAGCUAUUUCAGACAUACCAGAAGAGGGCACAGGAUCCCAUUACAGAUGGUUGUGAACCAUGAUGUAGUUGCUGGGUAUUGAACUCAGGGCCUCUUGAAGAGCAGUCAGUGCUCUUAACCACUGAGCCACCUCCCAAGCCCCAGGGAUUCCCAUGCUGCUAUUCAGUAUUUCUUUUCAUUGUAAAAAACUUGCAAAAAAAAAAAAAAAAGAGCUUGCAAAUAAAAAGUCUCACAGCCAGAGACUCAGACCGAAGUCUAAGCACUUUUGCAUUUUAUGCUUUAGGCUGACGAUGACAGUGUACUACUAGGCUGUGCACCGUCACUUAUAAGUAUACAUUAUACCAUUGGAAAGUGGGCUUCCAGCUUGGCCAUGGAAUCUCCUUGAAUGUUGAACAUGACAUGUCCAGUCAGGACCCUGCCCUCCUCUCACUUGCAGAGUGUCUCCUCCAGGGUCUGUUUCCUGAAUAAGGACGGUGGCAUGGAGAAAGUGGCCACCCCUCCAGCUUGAGUCUCCACAUGAGAACUGUGUGCUUCAAUCUUUACUCUGAGUUGCUUCUGGGACAACCCAAUAAAGGAGACUGGCCGCAUCUUAAAUCUCCAUACAAGUUUCUCCUCAGAGAAAUUUACUACAAUCUACUUCACACCCAAAAACCAAAACCAAAAACCAAAGCAACCAAACCAAACCAAAAACAACCAACUAGCUUUUUCUAGACUCAAUUAGAUGCCUUAGAUGCUUACACUCCCAACCCCAUACCCUAUAUUAUGUAAGCUUGAACAACAAAUCCCACAGGGCCUUUAAUGAGUCUUUACCUUUCCCCCAGUAGUAAGGAUGUGGUCAGUCAGCCUCACUACUUAAGAGUGAUUUUCAACUGCUCUAGGCCCAGAAUUCCUUUAGAUUUCAUUUAAGCUAUUUAUUUAUUUAUGACUUUUUUUCUCUCCUCAUGAGCACAUGACCAGAUUACCUUCCCAGGAUCCUUUGCAGGAGAGAAGCCGAGUCUUCCCUUGCUGUCUGAAAAUCUCCGAUGCACGAGCUUUAGCCCCAGAAAAAGUGGAAGCCAGACCUUCUUAAAGAAAGUGCAGAAAAUGCACAGGGAAAGCAAGCAGGCAGAGCAUUCCUUUCUCACCAUGGAGGGUGCCUUUGUUUUGGAGGAAAGAAGAGAUCCACUUGCCUUUGCCUGCUGGAUGCCGGGAAGAAAGGUGUGUGUCAUCAUGCCUGCUGGGUAACUGUCUUCUCCUGAGGCCGCCUGGGCACCAUGAUCUACCGGAGCGGAUCUGUCCAUUCCUGCUCAUUAACUUCAUUCCAAAAAUGUCUCCCGAAGUGGGAAUUUCUGGUUUCACCGGAGACCCAGUUGUGUUCUGCGAUAUUUUUCUGGACGCUGUCUGGUGAAAGGGCAUGCGAUGUUUGACUGGAGCAGACACUCGAGAGGGCACGUGAUGUUUGGAAAGAGUGUGAGUACAACCCAGCAGACAGUGGACAACACUCUGGCCUUGGUUUGCCUUGCUUUCUUCCCUGAUCUUUCCUGACUCUAGCCGAUUGGUGGAGUCUCGUGGUUUGUUCUGGAAGGAGCCACCACUGCUGAUUUAUGUGUGGGAUGAACUGCUGACCAUGAAGAUUGGAAUCGCCCCCAAAGAACGAUUUCUAAACAGAUCCAAAACCCUGUU
Rattus norvegicus (Norway rat) is the source of this 4319-nucleotide non-coding RNA. NCBI's taxonomy places the organism in Eukaryota, Metazoa, Chordata, Mammalia, Rodentia, Muridae. The record is from RefSeq and is a predicted model, not a curated record.